AUAAUAUUAAAAUAUUUUAUAUUA
This 24-nucleotide transfer RNA is filed under the name Oceanobdella khani. RNAcentral's name for it is "partial tRNA-Leu". The record is from RNAcentral. Lineage: Eukaryota; Metazoa; Annelida; Clitellata; Hirudinida; Piscicolidae.